CAGGCAGUUCCAGCCAUUUGCAAAGGAUAAGAAUGCCAAAGUUCAGAAUGAUUGCCUACAUUGGUGCUUGCCUGGGCCAAUAGACUCUUGGAAUGAUUUGGUUAUGGAAUUGUUGGUCAAUGGCGGAAAAUAUCGAUGAUCGAACGCCUGGCUUAUCGAUCGAACGCCUAGCUUAUCGAUCGAAUGCCUAGCUUAUCAAGCUCUCGGACUUCUCGGCCGGAAUCAAGUAUUAGCAGUCUUGCAGCUGUGGUUUGUCCUGUGAUCAAAUCUGUGCCUAAAACAACAGGCGCGACGCUGACCCGCAAUCCAUGAAAUGUAGAAAGACUUUGCUAAG
RNAcentral lists this long non-coding RNA (334 nucleotides) under Malus domestica (apple). Its description in RNAcentral is "long non-coding RNA (MDOM_LNC000830)". The record is from RNAcentral. Lineage: Eukaryota; Viridiplantae; Streptophyta; Magnoliopsida; Rosales; Rosaceae.